Molecule: ribosomal RNA, 253 nt
Filed under: uncultured bacterium
Lineage: Bacteria
Description: partial 16S ribosomal RNA
Rfam family: Bacterial small subunit ribosomal RNA
Source: RNAcentral
UACAGAGGUGGCAAGCGUUGUUCGGAUUUAUUGGGCGUAAAGGGCUCGUAGGCGGCCAACUAAGUCCGACGUGAAAUCCCCAGGCUUAACCUGGGAACUGCGUCGGAUACUGGAUGGCUUGAAUUCGGGAGAGGGAUGCAGAAUUCCAGGUGUAGCGGUGAAAUGCGUAGAUAUCUGGAGGAAUACCGGUGGCGAAGGCGGCAUCCUGGACCGACAUUGACGCUGAGGCACGAAGGCCAGGGGAGCAAACGGG